CGAGAAAGGAGGGAAUCGAACCCCCAUAAAAUGGUUUCAAGCCAACCACAUCACCACUCUGACACUUUCUU
This 71-nucleotide transfer RNA is filed under the name Thryssa kammalensis (Kammal thryssa). Its description in RNAcentral is "tRNA-Ser". The record is from RNAcentral. Lineage: Eukaryota; Metazoa; Chordata; Actinopteri; Clupeiformes; Engraulidae.